UACGUAGGGGGCCAGCGUUGUCCGGAUUUAUUGGGCGUAAAGAGCGUGUAGGCGGCCAGGUAGGUCUGCUGUGAAAACUCGAGGCUCAACCUCGAGACGUCGGCGGAAACCAUCUGGCUAGAGUCCGGAAGAGGAGAGUGGAAUUCCUGGUGUAGCGGUGAAAUGCGCAGAUAUCAGGAAGAACACCCGUGGCGAAGGCGGCUCUCUGGGACGGUACUGACGCUGAGACGCGAAAGCGUGGGGAGCGAACAGG
This 253-nucleotide ribosomal RNA is filed under the name uncultured bacterium. Its description in RNAcentral is "partial 16S ribosomal RNA". It matches the Rfam family "Bacterial small subunit ribosomal RNA", at positions 524 to 776 of the family's 1533-position model. The record is from RNAcentral.